RNAcentral lists this ribosomal RNA (439 nucleotides) under uncultured bacterium. Its description in RNAcentral is "SSU rRNA". It matches the Rfam family "Bacterial small subunit ribosomal RNA", at positions 371 to 808 of the family's 1533-position model. The record is from RNAcentral.
CAGGGCGAGAGCCUGACCAGCCAGUAGCGUGAAGGAUGACUGCCCUAUGNCAANGUAAACUUCUNNUAUAAAGGAAUAAAGUCGGGUAUGGAUACCCGUUUGCAUGUACUUUAUGAAUAAGGAUCGGCUAACUCCGUGCCAGCAGCCGCGGUAAUACGGAGGAUCCGAGCGUUAUCCGGAUUUAUUGGGUUUAAAGGGAGCGUAGAUGGAUGUUUAAGUCAGUUGUGAAAGUUUGCGGCUCAACCGUAAAAUUGCAGUUGAUACUGGAUAUCUUGAGUGCAGUUGAGGCAGGCGGAAUUCGUGGUGUAGCGGUGAAAUGCUUAGAUAUCACGAAGAACUCCGAUUGCGAAGGCAGCCUGCUAAGCUGCAACUGACAUUGAGGCUCGAAAGUGUGGGUAUCAAACAGGAUUAGAUACCCUGGUAGUCCAAGGGCGAAUUC